This 253-nucleotide ribosomal RNA is filed under the name uncultured bacterium. Its description in RNAcentral is "partial 16S ribosomal RNA". It matches the Rfam family "Bacterial small subunit ribosomal RNA", at positions 524 to 776 of the family's 1533-position model. The record is from RNAcentral.
UACAGGGGGGGCAAGCGUUGUUCGGAAUUACUGGGCGUAAAGGGUCUGUAGGUGGCCAACUAAGUCGGACGUGAAAUCCCUCAGCUUAACUGGGGAACUGCGUCUGAUACUGGAUGGCUCGAGUGUGGGAGAGGAAUGCGGAAUUCCAGGUGUAGCGGUGAAAUGCGUAGAUAUCUGGAGGAACACCGGUGGCGAAGGCGGCAUUCUGGACCAUAACUGACACUGAGAGACGAAAGCCAGGGGAGCAAACGGG